Firmicutes bacterium CAG:313 is the source of this 73-nucleotide transfer RNA. It matches the Rfam family "tRNA". Rfam says of the family: Transfer RNA (tRNA) molecules are approximately 80 nucleotides in length. Their secondary structure includes four short double-helical elements and three loops (D, anti-codon, and T loops). The record is from Rfam. NCBI's taxonomy places the organism in Bacteria, Bacillati, Bacillota.
GGCUAGGUAGCUCAGUCGGUAGAGCAAUGGACUGAAAAUCCAUGUGUCGCCGGUUCGAUCCCGGCCCAAGCCA